This 465-nucleotide ribosomal RNA is filed under the name Vreelandella stevensii. RNAcentral describes it as "partial 16S ribosomal RNA". It matches the Rfam family "Bacterial small subunit ribosomal RNA", at positions 338 to 795 of the family's 1533-position model. Lineage: Bacteria; Pseudomonadati; Pseudomonadota; Gammaproteobacteria; Oceanospirillales; Halomonadaceae. The record is from RNAcentral.
CCUACGGGAGGCAGCAGUGGGGAAUAUUGGACAAUGGGGGGAACCCUGAUCCAGCCAUGCCGCGUGUGUGAAGAAGGCCCUCGGGUUGUAAAGCACUUUCAGUGAGGAAGAACGCCUGGUGGUUAAUACCCAUCAGGAAAGACAUCACUCACAGAAGAAGCACCGGCUAACUCCGUGCCAGCAGCCGCGGUAAUACGGAGGGUGCGAGCGUUAAUCGGAAUUACUGGGCGUAAAGCGCGCGUAGGUGGCUUAAUAAGCCGGUUGUGAAAGCCCCGGGCUCAACCUGGGAACGGCAUCCGGAACUGUCAAGCUAGAGUGCAGGAGAGGAAGGUAGAAUUCCCGGUGUAGCGGUGAAAUGCGUAGAGAUCGGGAGGAAUACCAGUGGCGAAGGCGGCCUUCUGGACUGACACUGACACUGAGGUGCGAAAGCGUGGGUAGCAAACAGGAUUAGAUACCCCUGUAGUC